This 253-nucleotide ribosomal RNA is filed under the name uncultured bacterium. RNAcentral's name for it is "partial 16S ribosomal RNA". It matches the Rfam family "Bacterial small subunit ribosomal RNA", at positions 524 to 776 of the family's 1533-position model. The record is from RNAcentral.
UACGUAGGGGGCAAGCGUUGUCCGGAAUUACUGGGCGUAAAGCGCGCGUAGGCGGCUUUGCAAGUCGGGUGUGAAAUCCCCAGGCUUAACCUGGGAACUGCAUUCGAGACUGCAUUGCUAGAGUAUGGGAGAGGGAAGUGGAAUUUCCGGUGUAGCGGUGAAAUGCGUAGAUAUCGGAAGGAACACCAGUGGCGAAAGCGGCUUCCUGGUCCAGCACCGACGUUCAGGCACGAAAGCGUGGGGAGCAAACAGG